This 56-nucleotide transfer RNA is filed under the name Zea mays. It matches the Rfam family "tRNA", at positions 8 to 63 of the family's 71-position model. From Rfam's summary of the family: Transfer RNA (tRNA) molecules are approximately 80 nucleotides in length. Their secondary structure includes four short double-helical elements and three loops (D, anti-codon, and T loops). Lineage: Eukaryota; Viridiplantae; Streptophyta; Magnoliopsida; Poales; Poaceae. The record is from Rfam by way of RNAcentral.
UAGAUCAGUUGGUGGAGCAUAAGGUUUUAAACCUUAAGGUUGGGGUUCGAGCCCUA